This 721-nucleotide ribosomal RNA is filed under the name Yeosuana sp. RNAcentral's name for it is "bacterial SSU rRNA". It matches the Rfam family "Bacterial small subunit ribosomal RNA", at positions 28 to 749 of the family's 1533-position model. The record is from RNAcentral. Lineage: Bacteria; Pseudomonadati; Bacteroidota; Flavobacteriia; Flavobacteriales; Flavobacteriaceae.
GAUGAACGCUAGCGGCAGGCCUAACACAUGCAAGUCGAGGGGUAACAGGGAGCUUGCUCCGCUGACGACCGGCGCACGGGUGCGUAACGCGUAUACAAUCUACCUUUUGCUGCGAGAUAGCCCAGAGAAAUUUGGAUUAAUACCGCAUAGUAUAUAGACUUGGCAUCAAGUUUUUAUUAAAGGUUACGGCAGAAGAUGAGUAUGCGUUCUAUUAGCUAGAUGGUGUGGUAACGGCACACCAUGGCAACGAUAGAUAGGGGCCCUGAGAGGGGGAUCCCCCACACUGGUACUGAGACACGGACCAGACUCCUACGGGAGGCAGCAGUGAGGAAUAUUGGACAAUGGGCGAGAGCCUGAUCCAGCCAUGCCGCGUGCAGGAAGACUGCCCUAUGGGUUGUAAACUGCUUUUAUACAGGAAGAAACACCUCUACGUGUAGAGGCUUGACGGUACUGUAAGAAUAAGGAUCGGCUAACUCCGUGCCAGCAGCCGCGGUAAUACGGAGGAUCCAAGCGUUAUCCGGAAUCAUUGGGUUUAAAGGGUCCGUAGGUGGAUAAUUAAGUCAGAGGUGAAAUCCUGCAGCUCAACUGUAGAAUUGCCUUUGAUACUGGUUAUCUUGAAUCAUUAUGAAGUAGUUAGAAUAUGUAGUGUAGCGGUGAAAUGCAUAGAUAUUACAUAGAAUACCAAUUGCGAAGGCAGAUUACUAAUAAUGUAUGACACUGA